UCGAGAAUAUUCGACAAUGGGCGAAAGCCUGAUCGAGCGACGCCGCGUGCAGGAUGAAGGCCCUCGGGUUGUAAACUGCGGUAGUAGGGGAGGAACGCAAGUGACUGUACCCUACGGAAAGUGGUUGGUAACUACGUGCCAGCACCAGCGGUAAUACGUAGACCACAAGCGUUAUCCGGAUUUAUUGGGCGUAAAGAGCAUGUAGGAGGUCCGGUGCGUCUCUGGUUAAAGCCCACCGCCUAACGGUGGAAGUGCCAGAGAUACGAUCGGACUGGAGGAUGUGAGAGGUGCAUGGAACUCACGGUGUAGGGGUGAAAUCCGUUGAUAUCGUGGGGAACACCAAAGGCGAAGGCAGUGCACUGGUACAUUCCUGACUCUGAGAUGCGAAAGCGUGGGGAGCAAAAAGGAUUAGAUACCCAUGUAGUCCCUGAGCGGGCUGGCAAGGCGCAU
RNAcentral lists this ribosomal RNA (450 nucleotides) under uncultured bacterium. RNAcentral describes it as "bacterial SSU rRNA". It matches the Rfam family "Bacterial small subunit ribosomal RNA", at positions 355 to 825 of the family's 1533-position model. The record is from RNAcentral.